GACGAACGCUGGCGGCGCGCCUAACACAUGCAAGUCGAACGAGCGAGAGGAGGUUUACUUUCUCCAGCGAGUGGCGAACGGGUGAGUAACGCGUGAGGAACCUGCCUCAAAGAGGGGGACAACAGUUGGAAACGACUGCUAAUACCGCAUAAGCCCACGACCCGGCAUCGGGUAGAGGGAAAAGGAGCAAUCCGCUUUGAGAUGGCCUCGCGUCCGAUUAGCUAGUUGGUGAGGUAAUGGCCCACCAAGGCGACGAUCGGUAGCCGGACUGAGAGGUUGAACGGCCACAGUGGGACUGAGACACGGCCCAGACUCCUACGGGAGGCAGCAGUGGGGAAUAUUGCACAAUGGGGGAAACCCUGAUGCAGCGACGCCGCGUGGAGGAAGAAGGUCUUCGGAUUGUAAACUCCUGUUGUUGAGGAAGAUAAUGACGGUACUCAACAAGGAAGUGACGGCUAACUACGUG
RNAcentral lists this ribosomal RNA (466 nucleotides) under uncultured bacterium. Its description in RNAcentral is "partial 16S ribosomal RNA". It matches the Rfam family "Bacterial small subunit ribosomal RNA", at positions 28 to 507 of the family's 1533-position model. The record is from RNAcentral.